UACGUAGGGUGCAAGCGCUGUCCGGAAUUAUUGGGCGUAAAGAGCUCGUAGGCGGUUUGUCGCGUCUGCUGGGAAAACUCGGGGCUUAACUCCGGGCCUGCAGUGGGUACGGGCAGACUAGAGUGCGGUAGGGGAGACUGGAAUUCCUGGUGUAGCGGUGAAAUGCGCAGAUAUCAGGAGGAACACCGGUGGCGAAGGCGGGUCUCUGGGCCGUAACUGACGCUGAGACGCGAAAGCGUGGGGAGCGAACAGG
RNAcentral lists this ribosomal RNA (253 nucleotides) under uncultured bacterium. RNAcentral's name for it is "partial 16S ribosomal RNA". It matches the Rfam family "Bacterial small subunit ribosomal RNA", at positions 524 to 776 of the family's 1533-position model. The record is from RNAcentral.